GUCCUUUCAGGUACAUAUGAUAAAAUUGGAAAGAUACAAACAAGAUUAGCAUGGUCCCUCAGCAAAAAUGACAUACACAAAUCGAUAAAUGAUCCAGCAACAG
Molecule: small nuclear RNA, 103 nt
Organism: Solanum dulcamara
Lineage: Eukaryota; Viridiplantae; Streptophyta; Magnoliopsida; Solanales; Solanaceae
Source: RefSeq, a predicted model, not a curated record